GGAAACCUCACCCGGGGCGACAGCAGGAUGAAGGCCAGGCUAACGACCUUGCCGGACGAGCUGAGAGGAGGUGCAUGGCCGUCGUCAGCUCGUGCCGUGAGGUGUCCGGUUAAGUCCGGCAACGAGCGAGACCCCCGCCCCUAGUUGCUACCCCUCCCUACGGGGAGGGGGGCACACUAGGGGGACUGCCGGCGUAAGCCGGAGGAAGGAGGGGGCCACGGCAGGUCAGUAUGCCCCGAAACCCCGGGGCUGCACGCGAGCUGCAAUGGCGGGGACAGCGGGAUCCGACCCCGAAAGGGGGAGGCAAUCCCGUAAACCCCGCCCCAGUAGGGAUCGAGGGCUGCAACUCGCCCUCGUGAACGUGGAAUCCCUAGUAACCG
This 380-nucleotide ribosomal RNA is filed under the name uncultured Pyrobaculum sp. RNAcentral's name for it is "bacterial SSU rRNA". It matches the Rfam family "Archaeal small subunit ribosomal RNA", at positions 920 to 1300 of the family's 1478-position model. Lineage: Archaea; Thermoproteati; Thermoproteota; Thermoprotei; Thermoproteales; Thermoproteaceae. The record is from RNAcentral.